CAACUACAUUAAAUAACAGACCUUCCAACACUGUAACCGAUCCUAGCACUUCAUCUCAAACAUCAACUGACACCUCAGAAAUAUCAUCUGAUUCAACAUCAAGAACAGCAACCAAUACAUCAGACAGUGAAGCGGAACGAACAGACAACGAUAAAGAUAUCGCCAUCAUUGUUUUGGCUAUAUUAUCGUUUUCAUUGAUACUGGUCAUAGUUUUAUAUCUCAUGUACAGAAAAGGUAAACUAAGAUGUCUAAAGAGACAUGGUAAUCCGAGAAUGGAGAAUUCAAGAACGAUAACUCCGUCAGAACCUUGGACUACUUACAGUAAUCUAUCGGAUACAGACAGACAUAAUACAGAUAGUGCUUACCAGGAAUUACAAACCAGGAAUGUAAAUUCACCUUAUAAUAAUCUUCCAUAUUCUGGUACAGACAUACAACCUGGUACUAACUAUAGUAGUCUAUCUGAUAGUAACAGACAUGAUACCGAUAAUAAUAGUUACCAAGAGCUACACACAAGAACCUCCACGUCACCUUAUAACAAUCUCCCCUAUAGUAAUCAAUAAUUAUCACCUUAUAACAAUCUCCCCUAUAGUAAUCAAUAAUUAACACAUUUAUAACAAUCUCCCCUAUAGUAAUGAACUACAUACAUAUAGUAAUUAAUAAUACCAUAGCCUAUACCAUCACACUGACUUUCAAUUUUUUUCCGCCAAAAUGGAUGAUAAUUUUUAUAUAACAAAAUGUUCAUAUUUUUUUCCGCCAACUAGAAUAUUUAUCUUCCAAACAUUUGUGAUAAAAAAGACAACAAUACAAUAUACAACAACUUUAAAAAUCUGUCUGUGUAUAAUAAAUUAGCACAGUUUGGAUUUAAUAAGAUCAGAUUUUUUUGUGGGGUGACUUUAGUCUAUUUGAACACCGUACCGCACAAUAUAUUUUUAGUAUCUACACGUCAGAUCUCAUUCAAGGAUUGCCAAUUUUCUAUAAAUUUAUGUGUUGCGUGUACAAUAGGCCUACAGUUAUUUUCAGAAUGUGAAUCCCUGGUAGAAUGAUAUAAAUUUCAAUUAUAUUUGUAAGAGAUGCUUACAAUUAUACCCGUCGUUCACCUUUAGAUCAUUUUGGCGACGGUAAUACGAUACGUCAUAUGGCGAAAUGAUUUCUCGCUCAAGAAUCGUCGCUAUUCAACUCGUUCUUACGUUUUCGACCAGUGGUGAUGAUAUAAUUUGAAAUAAUGAUAUCCGAUCGGCAUGCUUGUAUAUCUUACAUGCCGCAUAUGAAGCCAGAGUAAACGGAAUUCAACUAUCAAAAUAUUUAAUUCUCUUCGAAAGGAACUGUCGACCAUUUUGAUUACAUGUAUUACCAUUUUUUUUAAGACGAAACGGAACGUCAAAUAAUCACCGCUUGGAUUAAUAAUGACUUGAGAUAGGCUUUAUAUACAUCAUUUGCAAUUAUCAAUCAACUAAUCAUUAAUCUAAGACAACUGAUUAGUAUUAAUCAUUGACGUAAUCCGGAUUAUCAGCUAGUUGAUUGAUUUAUAGUAUUCCGCCACGUGAUUGACACUCAAAUAAUUGUUAAUCAAGGAUGAAUACGAUUAGAAUUUUAAGAUUUUUUUCCCCAGUUCUCAAAAAGAAUCGCCAGUACCGCAAAACAUUAUCGCCAAAAUCAAAUUUUAAUCGCCACUUUCAUAUUUUCAUCGCAAAUUGCGACUUUGGCGACCGACAGUGUGAGCCUGACCAUAGGGUUUAUUUUAGUUAUAAGAAAGGUGUUCUGUAUAUAAUAUAGAAAUUCUUUACCUACAUGAUGUGUGACGAAAACUAGGGUAAUGAAGUAGCUUGCAUUAUUUUACUACUAUCUUAGACUAACUUACCAACAGUUAUAUGUCAGUAUCCAUUGCUGGAAGUAGGGUACUAUAGUCCAGUCAUCUCGUGCAUGGAUUACAAUUAACUAGAAUAGUGUUGACGUAAAACGGUGCCUAUACGAAACACUUACCCAAAAAUGGUAAUUGUCCCGCCCAAAUAGAUGACGCAUUGUACUUCCUCUAUAGGAGAGAGCUUGUUUGAUUUACGCUCAGAUAUCAUGAUGAGACCCUAGGGAAGAUAUCACAGAGCGGCCCGUGAGGGGAACAUCGUAGCCUCCUCGGCUGAGAGGCUGGGAUAGAGACGAAUGUAGUAUUUAAACCGUUAGGUCUGAGUUGUAAAGGAUGCUAAACUCAGACCGUGGAUAUUUUGAUAACUCCUGAAGUUAUAGUGUUCCUGGAUUCAACUUUGUAGUUUGCUGUAUUUGUUAUAUAAACUUAGUAACAACGUAAACGGUGUUCCAGAGUCAGUUAAUAGAUGAUUAAAAUAGUUAUCACAACGUGAAUUCGGAAGAAUGUCCUAGACGAUAAUGUCACAGCUACCCCGUAGUGUCACGGUCGUUUUUAUUUGGUACCGUGACACAGGAUAGGAUAGUGUUACAGCUAAUCUCUCUUUGGUGCCGCUGACUGAAGGAUGUCGACCAUGGGGGAAAUCCAUGCAAGAAGAAGUUUCCAGUCGUUUUAGGUGAAAUGUUUUGUGUCAUACUGGAUGUUGUUAUUUGUAUUACCUUUAUCAACCUUGAUCACUUUCAUAAUUACAUUAAUUAAAGGGACAUCAUGUAAGAUUAGAUAAGGAGCUAACAUUUCUCACUAUUAUAGUUAAAAAGUAGCUAAUG
Molecule: long non-coding RNA, 2682 nt
Organism: Patella vulgata (common limpet)
Lineage: Eukaryota; Metazoa; Mollusca; Gastropoda; Patellidae
Exons: 4
Source: RefSeq, a predicted model, not a curated record